AGGACGAACGCUGGCGGUGUGCUUCACACAUGCAAGUCGAACGAGGUAGCAAUACCUAGUGGCGGACGGGUGAGUAACGCGUGGGAAUCUGCCUUAAGAUGGGGGAUAGCUAGCCGAAAGGCUAAUUAAUACCGCAUAAGUAUGUAAUUCGACAGUUUUACAUAUAAAAGGAGCAAUUCGUCUUAAGAUGAGCCCGCGUCCGAUUAGCUAGUUGGUAGGGUAAAAGCCUACCAAGGCGACGAUCGGUAGGUGGUCUGAGAGGAUGAUCACCCACAAUGGAACUGAGACACGGUCCAUACUCCUACGGGAGGCAGCAGUGGGGAAUUUUACGCAAUGGGCGAAAGCCUGACGUAGCGACACCGCGUGAGCGAAGAAGCCCUUUGGGUGUAAAGCUCUGUCAGCUGGACGAAAAAAUGACGGUACCAGCAGAGAAGCAUCGGCUAACUACGUGCCAGCAGCCGC
Molecule: ribosomal RNA, 462 nt
Filed under: uncultured bacterium
Lineage: Bacteria
Description: SSU rRNA
Rfam family: Bacterial small subunit ribosomal RNA
Source: RNAcentral